Molecule: transfer RNA, 59 nt
Filed under: Cemophora coccinea (scarlet snake)
Lineage: Eukaryota; Metazoa; Chordata; Lepidosauria; Squamata; Colubridae
Description: tRNA-Ser
Source: RNAcentral
CCGAGGGUGCCAUAAGACCUGCUAACUCUUUAAUCUGGAACUAACACACCAGCCCCCUC